This 1373-nucleotide ribosomal RNA is filed under the name Leptocimbex linealis. RNAcentral's name for it is "16S ribosomal RNA". Lineage: Eukaryota; Metazoa; Arthropoda; Insecta; Hymenoptera; Cimbicidae. The record is from RNAcentral.
AAUAAUUUUAAAAUUAUUAAUUAAUUUAUUAUUUUUUUAUAAAUAUUAUUUGUAAAAAAUAUUAAACUUAUAAAGUUUUUGUAUAAUUUUAUGAUAAAAUUUAAUUUAUUAUAGAAAAUUAGUAUUGUAGAAGAAUUUUAAAAUAUUUUGAAAAAUAAAAUUAAGAAAAAGUAUUAUUUAUUUUAAGUACCUUGUGUAUCAGGGUUUAUUAAAAUAAUAAUAUUUAAUUAUAUUUUUUUCGAAUUUAAAAGAUCUAAAUAUUUAUAAUUUUUAAUGUUACAUUAUUAUUUUAAAUUUAAAUUUAGUAAUGAAAUGUUAUUCGUUUUUAAAGUUAUCUAAUUUUUUAAUAAAUAGAUUUAAUUUCCAUAUUAAAUAUAAAAUAUUAAUUUUAAUUGUUUUUAUUUUUAUUUAAUAUAAAUAUUUUAAGGGAUAAGCUUUAAAAUAAAUUAUUAAAAUUUAUUAAUGUAUAUAUAUAUAUAUAAUAUAAUAUAAUAUAGUCUUAAAAAUAGAUUUUAUUAAUAAAAAUGUUUUAAUUUAUUAUUAUAUAAUAAUUAGGAAGAUUUGUUUAAUAUUUAAUUUUUUAUUAAAAUUUAAAAUUUAAUUAUUUAAUUUUAUUAAAAAUGAUAAAAUUAGUAAAUAAUAUUAAUUUAAUGAAUUAGUAAUUUUUGUUAGAUUAAUUUAAGGAAUUCGGCAAAAAUUUUAUAUUUGCUUGUUUAACAAAAACAUCGUUUUUUGAAUAUAAUUUAAAAUUUGAUCUGCUCAAUGAAUAAAAAUUUAAAUUUAAAUAGCCGCGGUAUCUUAACCGUGCGAAGGUAGCAUAAUAAUUUGUCUUUUAAUUAAAGGCUGGAAUGAAUGAUUGGACAAGAUAUAAACUGUCUUAUUUUAAUUUAAUAUUGAAUUUAAUUUUUAAGUUAAAAAGCUUAAAUAUUUUUAAAGGACGAGAAGACCCUAUAGAGUUUUAUAAUUAUUUUAAUUUAAUAUUAAAAGUUUAUAUUUAAUUAAUUAAAUUAUUUUGUUGGGGUGAUAAAAAAAUUUAAUUAACUUUUUUAUGUAUUUUUACAUUAAUUUAUGAAUUUUUGAUCCUUAAUUUUGGAUUAAUAGAUUAAAUUACCUUAGGGAUAACAGCGUAAUUUUUUUUAGAGUUCUUAUCAAUUUAAGAGAUUGCGACCUCGAUGUUGGAUUAAAAUUUAAUUUAGGUGUAGAAGUUUAAAUUUUUAGGUCUGUUCGACCUUUAAUAUUUUACAUGAUCUGAGUUCAAACCGGUGUAAGCCAGGUUGGAUUCUAUCCUUAAAAUUUUAUUAAUUUUUAGUACGAAAGGAAUAAAAUUUAAAUUUAUAAUUGUUUAAAUUUUUGAUUUAAAUUAAUCAGUUAAA